UGCCCUCCUGCUUGAUGGUCCUCAAAGCAGACAGCAGGUCGCCAUUAUAGACAGAAGUCAUACGUCUUAUUUAUACUGCCAUGACGAAAAGAGUAGAAGAACAAGAAUAGUUUAGAGUGGGUAAAAACCAACACCAAUUUACUCACAGGUGAUUGACAAUGAGAUAAGACUGCAAUGUUGUAAAGUAUUAUUUAAAAGCGGACUUCACAGAUUCGCGAUUGACUGUGAAUUCACCACAUGGUCAACCAUGCUGGAAAACGUUAUGCGAGCGGGCCACCGGGGGAGAGACGGCGAGCUAUGCCGCGCAGGAAUUCCCUCUGCCGGCAGGCGGGCGGACAACACCGCUGAGUUCCCCGGAGGUCGCCUCUGCCCUCGAGACGAGAAGGGAAGCCUAUCGUCAAUCGCACUGAAUAUUACAUUCACUUUUACAUAUUCACACAAUAUAUGAACAUUUCAAAGUCAUGAAUUAUGUAAGAAUUGAAAUGCGUUUGUUUGUGUGUUUGUAGAUUUAGCAGAAGAUUAAACUUUUAAGAAAAAUAGAAUAAAUCGAUUUUUUUAUGAGACGAUUGCUCCAAAAAUCUUGAAACAUUUUUGAUGUACGUUUUUUUUCCUGCCGAAUUUGAUUCGAUUUUUUUUAAAAGCGGUUUCUUCAAAAAGGAAUGUAUCUACUUGAAAAAUCUUGUAACGUUUUUUUAAAAAAAACAAUGCCCCACAUUUCUGUUGAACUUGCAUCCUUUGCCUCGUACAACGUUUUAACUUGAAAAAAAUAGUUUUGCUCAAGCAAGUUCUUGGUACAUUAUAUAACGUCAUAACAAUCAAUAUGGAGCUGUGUGUGUGUGUGUGUGAGAGAGAGAGAGAGAGAGAGAGAGAGAGGGAGAGAGAGAGAAAGAGAGAGAGAAAGAGAGAGCCAGCACCUUGUCAUUUUGCAGGAGAACUGAGAAUGAGAGGCAUGAAGCAGGAUCCUGCUGCUUCUUUUGGCCACAAUUACCCUACAGGAGAGGGACCUGUGCGGGGGCAUGCAGACACACACACAAUCCUCCCUGGGAAUUGCCUCAGCUGUUACCCCCUACGCUGAGCUUGUUCUCGUCCUCCUGCCUCGACCCUAAAACCUUAUCUGGCAGCUCUGGUUCCUCAGGGCGCAGUACUGAGGCCCCUGGCAACUGACUGCAGGAUUUGCAGUGGCAGAUUUAUGGAAAAUUGUCAUCUGAAC
This is a long non-coding RNA of Syngnathoides biaculeatus (alligator pipefish), 1210 nucleotides long. RefSeq lists it as uncharacterized. NCBI's taxonomy places the organism in Eukaryota, Metazoa, Chordata, Actinopteri, Syngnathiformes, Syngnathidae. The transcript has 3 exons. The record is from RefSeq and is a predicted model, not a curated record.